AUUGAACGCUGGCGGCAGGCUUAACACAUGCAAGUCGAGCGGGGUGAUGGUGCUUGCACUAUCACUUAGCGGCGGACGGGUGAGUAAUGCUUAGGAAUCUGCCUAUUAGUGGGGGACAACAUCUCGAAAGGGAUGCUAAUACCGCAUACGUCCUACGGGAGAAAGCAGAGGAUCACUUGUGACCUUGCGCUAAUAGAUGAGCCUAAGUCGGAUUAGCUAGUUGGUGGGGUAAAGGCCUACCAAGGCGACGAUCUGUAGCGGGUCUGAGAGGAUGAUCCGCCACACUGGGACUGAGACACGGCCCAGACUCCUACGGGAGGCAGCAGUGGGGAAUAUUGGACAAUGGGGGGAACCCUGAUCCAGCCAUGCCGCGUGUGUGACGAAGGCCUUAUGGUUGUAAAGCACUUUAAGCGAGGAGGAGGCUCUUUUGGUUAAUACCCAAGAUGAGUGGACGUUACUCGCAGAAUAAGCACCGGCUAACUCUGUGCCAGCAGCCGCGGUAA
RNAcentral lists this ribosomal RNA (503 nucleotides) under uncultured bacterium. Its description in RNAcentral is "partial 16S ribosomal RNA". It matches the Rfam family "Bacterial small subunit ribosomal RNA", at positions 30 to 523 of the family's 1533-position model. The record is from RNAcentral.